AGUGAACGCUGGCGGCGUGCCUAACACAUGCAAGUCGAACGGGCUAGUGCUUCGCACUAGUCUCUUUCUGGGGUUGUUACUCUAAGGCUACCUGCUAAGGUUAUUGCUUUAAAGCAGGGGUUUUAGGAGACUUUCCCCGAAAGGGGCCAGUGCGGAGCACUGGCCAGUGGCGAACGGGUGAGUAACACGUGGGUAAUCUACCCUCGAGUGGGGAAUAAGCUUCCGAAAGGGGGUCUAAUGCCGCAUAACGUUUCAUAACGAUGGUUAUGAAACCAAAGCCCAAAAGGCGCUCGAGGAGGAGCCUGCGUCCUAUCAGCUUGUUGGCAGGGUAAUGGCCUACCAAGGCUAUGACGGGUAGCCGGCCUGAGAGGGUGUCCGGCCACACUGGAACUGAGACACGGUCCAGACUCCUACGGGAGGCAGCAGUGGGGAAUUUUGCGCAAUGGGGGAAACCCUGACGCAGCGACGCCGCGUGGAGGAUGACGGCCUCGGUUGUAACUCCUGUCGAGAAGGGACGAAAUCCGCAGGACG
This 531-nucleotide ribosomal RNA is filed under the name uncultured bacterium. RNAcentral describes it as "bacterial SSU rRNA". It matches the Rfam family "Bacterial small subunit ribosomal RNA", at positions 29 to 461 of the family's 1533-position model. The record is from RNAcentral.